Molecule: long non-coding RNA, 285 nt
Filed under: Zonotrichia albicollis (white-throated sparrow)
Lineage: Eukaryota; Metazoa; Chordata; Aves; Passeriformes; Passerellidae
Description: lncRNA (ENSZALG00000006603.1)
Source: RNAcentral
CUUCACCCAUGAAAAUAAUUAUCAUGAUGCUUUGUGAUAAAAAUGCACUUGCUGACAAUUUAGCCUUUGAAAGGUUAGAGUGCUUGUGUCAGAUACCACUGCUCUGUGAAAUGGUUCUGUACUUGCAGCACUAUGGAUUGGUUAAACAGGUAGAUCCCUGAUGUAUUUUGAACAAAAGUUGACUAUUAAAAGUGCAACGUGAAGUGGAGCAAUUUUACGUGGAGUUUCAUAAUAGGACAGGAAGCAGACUAAAGAAAAGAAAAAUAAAGAUAAUAAGUGUUCACA